AUGGUAGCAUACAGAACAUUGAGAGAGACAAUUGUUAAAUGGGAGGUUGAGUUUACAGAGAUUGAUCCACAAGUUCUACAGAACAUGGGAGAGACGGCAGUGAAGAAAUGGGUGGAAAAAAUUGGGAAGAAUAUUGUUUGGGGUCCAGAGCAAGAAGUAUCACUGUUGCGGUUUGAUGAUUGGAAAGGAGAGUAUGUGAGAAUAGAAGAUGGUGAACAGAUUGUUGAAGAAAUCGAUCGGCAAAACGGCUCGACAAGCAAACGGGCUAAUUUUUUUGCUGAGCUCGUUGAACUGAGCAUUUUUUCGAAGGUUGGAUAUGUGCCAUAA
This 327-nucleotide ribosomal RNA is filed under the name Triticum aestivum (bread wheat). RNAcentral's name for it is "partial small subunit ribosomal RNA". Lineage: Eukaryota; Viridiplantae; Streptophyta; Magnoliopsida; Poales; Poaceae. The record is from RNAcentral.